GGGAGGCAGCAGUGGGGAAUAUUGCGCAAUGGGCGAAAGCCUGACGCAGCGACGCCGCGUGAGGGAUGACGGCCUUCGGGUUGUAAACCUCUUUCAGCAGGGACGAAGCGAAAGUGACGGUACCUGCAGAAGAAGCACCGGCCAACUACGUGCCAGCAGCCGCGGUAAUACGUAGGGUGCAAGCGUUGUCCGGAAUUAUUGGGCGUAAAGAGCUCGUAGGCGGUCUGUCGCGUCGGCUGUGAAAACCCGGGGCUCAACCCCGGGCCUGCAGUCGAUACGGGCAGACUAGAGUGCGGUAGGGGAGACUGGAAUUCCUGGUGUAGCGGUGAAAUGCGCAGAUAUCAGGAGGAACACCGGUGGCGAAGGCGGGUCUCUGGGCCGUAACUGACGCUGAGGAGCGAAAGCGUGGGGAGCGAACAGGAUUAGAUACCCCGGUAGU
This 439-nucleotide ribosomal RNA is filed under the name uncultured bacterium. Its description in RNAcentral is "bacterial SSU rRNA". It matches the Rfam family "Bacterial small subunit ribosomal RNA", at positions 343 to 794 of the family's 1533-position model. The record is from RNAcentral.